This 31-nucleotide non-coding RNA is filed under the name Rattus norvegicus (Norway rat). Lineage: Eukaryota; Metazoa; Chordata; Mammalia; Rodentia; Muridae. The record is from RNAcentral.
ACAACCCUUGAAAGUUGAAUUCAGAUGCUGG